GUUUUCCCCCCCCAGCCAUUUGUAGGGCAUUCUGCAGCUUUGGUUUUGCCAAUUUCUUCAGGAUUUCCAAGGGAUAUGGUGCAAUGCUGGGCAAUUUGAGGUCAGGUAACAGGUAACUUGUUUGAUCGAUCAUUAGCUAGGUGGGUUUCGGCUCUCAGUGUUGUAUUUAUGAUUUGUUGUGUUUACCCAUUGAGAGCUUGGUGUUGCUGACAUUGGGUCUUAAGAUUUUGAUGUUGUUGUGGUUACCAGAGACGAUGAAGUGGUGGGG
This 268-nucleotide unclassified non-coding RNA is filed under the name Hevea brasiliensis (rubber tree). The record is from RNAcentral. Lineage: Eukaryota; Viridiplantae; Streptophyta; Magnoliopsida; Malpighiales; Euphorbiaceae.